This 927-nucleotide ribosomal RNA is filed under the name Triticum aestivum (bread wheat). RNAcentral's name for it is "partial small subunit ribosomal RNA". Lineage: Eukaryota; Viridiplantae; Streptophyta; Magnoliopsida; Poales; Poaceae. The record is from RNAcentral.
AUGACGCGAGAGCCGCAAGGAAAAUCCACCAUGGACCGCCAUGCUCCCCGGCCUGCUCUCUCCCAUUCUCUCCCUCUCAAAUUGGUGAACCAGCAGCAAUUGAUGUGCAGCAUCCACGAGCUCCUGCCUCUCCCUGCGGCGUCCAUGGCCGUGAGGUCCACGCCAGCGACUCGCUCCACCCCCUCCCCGGGCCUCCAUCCCAGCACCAACUUUGACAUGGCAAUGCGUAAGGUGGACGGUGCGCGUGGGGACUCGUCGUGGAGCGAGAUCCAGGGGAUCCAUCUGAAGGCUCACCUCCCAUCCACGAGCACGCAGUCUCAUGCGCUUCAGGCGAGAGACGUGCAGCGCCAGCAGUGGUCGCACGACACGCCGGAAGAUCAUGCCGGAGUAGUUGAAGUGCUAAUGGAUCCUCCCAGCAGUACGCCAGAGCCCGGCGUCAAUAGUAAUCUACUGGAUCUCAGCUCCGUCGAUGUAAGGGUUCCAGCACUCGUGUACAUGUGUCGGGAGACGCGCUGCUCCGCACCUCGGCCGUGCUCUCCAACGCACCCUUCAUCUUCAACAUCGACUGCGACCACUAUGGCAACAACCCGCAAGCCCUCCGGACCGUCGUCGGCCUCAUGCUCGACCACGACGGCAGCAACGUGGCGUUCUUCCAGUUCCCCACCGCUCGACGAGCUCUGCCUCCUCUCCACUAUUGCAAGGAGGUUCUUGGUGGCGAGCCCGACCGCUGCUGCGAGGUCAUGCGCGAUUUCCUCCUCGUCUCUGUGCUCGCGACUAGAGACCACCGCCGGCUGGAUCGAGCGAGAGAAAGGGAUCGCCGCUGCUCAACUUGCACAUGAUGUGUUUGGUAAAAUGCCAGAGAGGAGGAGGAGGAAGAAGAACCGGUCAAUUUGCCAGCGUGGCAGUUUUUUUUCCAACUCAGCCUGA